UGAGCAAUCUGCCCUUCACAUCGGAAUAACCAUUGGAAACGAUGGCUAAUACCGAAUAUGACUUCGGAUCGCAUGAUCUGAAGUGGAAAGCUCCGGCGGUGAAGGAUGAGCUCGCGGCCUAUCAGCUUGUUGGUGCGGGUAAUGGCCCACCAAGGCGACGACGGGUAGCCGGCCUGAGGAGGGUGACCCGGCCACACGUGGGACUGAGACGACCGGCCCAGCUCCGUACGGGG
Molecule: ribosomal RNA, 233 nt
Filed under: uncultured bacterium
Lineage: Bacteria
Description: partial 16S ribosomal RNA
Rfam family: Bacterial small subunit ribosomal RNA
Source: RNAcentral